UCCAGCCAUCGGGGCCCUCUCCCCGGCAGUGACUGGCCUGCCUCGUGUCCCUGUGGGCGCCUAGAAUUGGAGGUAUAUGGAUUCGGAAACUGCUUUCUCUCUUCUGUGCCGCUUCUUUCAUUGGGCCGUUCUUUCGAGGUUCCCCUGUGGUGCAACAUGUUUCAGCAGCUUUUUUAAACGAUGGAGGUCUAGCUGGGGUGCGGGAGCAUGAAUCAGUACUUUGUUUUGAUAGCCGAGUAGGAUUCCGUUAUAUGGCUAUGACACAAUUUUGUUCGUCCACCCGCGCAUCCAUGCACAUUUCAGUUGCGUCCAGUGUGAGAUUGUUAUAAACCAAGCGGCCACCUACCCAUGCCUGCGUUUCUCUUGGGUAAAUGCCUGGGACUGGAGUGGCCCGAAGCAUGUGGCAGAUGUAUACGUUUUUAAGAAAUUGCCAAACCGUUUUCCAACGUGGUUGUCCUGACUUUCGGUUUCAGCUCUGACGCCGGAAGAGCUUGGGGUCGCUCCCAUUCUCACCACGAGAACAAUCCUGAGCCACCUGAAGACUGACGGCUUUUCUUGGACACAUCAGAGGACCGGGGUCAGAGGGCACAGCAUCCGAAGGUCACGAGUGAGAUCCGCUGCCUCGCACCCUGGUAGGAGCAUUUCAUUUAGAUGACAAGGGGCUGGAGACCGAGUGUGCGCUGCUGUGGGCGCGGGGGAGUCUCAGGUCUGCCGGCGCAGCGCAUGGCCACAGUCUCAGGGCUUUUAUCCCCAGGAACUCCACCAGGUUUUGACAGGAAAGAGCUGAGAAAGACCGCACAGGAGUGGUGAUCGAACUUUAAUGCUGGCUGUCUUUCUAGGCGGGGGGUGGUAUUUCACUGUGGUUUUUAUGUGCAUUUCCCAAAUGACUAACUUUUCCAAAUGGCUAAUCAUGUGGCGCGUCUUUUCAUGUGGUUCUUUGCCAUGUCAUUUUCUUUGGUGACGCGCCCAUUGCAACCCUUUCUCGUUUUGCUGUCAGGUUGUUUGUUUUCUUAUGAUUGAGUUUCGAGAGUUCUUUAUGCAUUCUGAAUAAGAGUCCUUUAUCAGAUAUGUGAUUUUCACAUAUUUCCUCUCAGUGUGGAGCUUGUCCUUUAAUUCUCUUAACGGAGUCUUUUGAAAGCAUAAGUUUUGAAUUUUGCUGCCGUUCAGAAUUUCAAACUGUUCGUAUAUGUAGGUCAUGCCUCUGUAAGAGCUCAGGAUUAUGACAACUCUAAGAAAUCUUUGCCUAACACAUGGUCACAAAUGCUUUCUCCUUUUAUUCCAGAACUGUUAUCGUUUUAGGUUUUACAUUUAGAUCUCUGAUCCAUUUUGAAUUAACUUUGCUAAACGGUGACGCUGUGAUCGUUUGUAUUUUUCAAGGGAAGGAGGUUCCCUCUGUUCACUGUCUUCUGAGGGUUUUUUCUUUUCAAUCAGGAAUGGGUGUUAGACUGUGUCAAAUGCUUUGCAUCUUUAUCGAGAUGGCCGUCCGAUGUUCUGUUUGGUUUGUGAAAGCGGCGAGUGGCCCUGGCUCAGUUAACCUCGGUUUCCCCGAGUGACCCCGGCUCAGUUAACCUCGGUUUCCCCGAGUGACCCCAGCUCAGUUAACCUCGGUUUCCCCGAGUGACCCUGGCUCAGUUAACCUCGGUCCCCGAGGCAGGCGUCCCCUGGGAGCAGUGUGUGGUCUUCUUUAGAGAUGUCACCGGGUUUUAUUUUUCUGUGUUUUGUUUGUGAGGAAUAUUGGUCUGCAGUUCUCGUUUCUUCUCUUUUAUUUGUUUGCGUUUGGUACCAGGGUAAUGCUGCUUCAUUGAAUGCAUCCUAGUUGAUUUUUUAGAAGAGUUUGGGUAAAAUUGGAAUAAUUACGCUCCUGAAAUGUUUGCUAGGAUUCACCAAUGAAGCCGCUUGGUCCUGGAGUAGUCUUUGUGGGGACGUUUCCGACUGCAAGUAUAAUUUUGUUAACAGAGGGUACUCAUGCGUCUGAUAGUCUGCUUCUUUUAGAGGCAGCCGUGGUGACUUGUGUCUUCCAGCAAGCUGUCCUCUUUUCCCAAGCGAGCGGUAAAACCUGUAGUGGUGUCAGUCCUCUCGUUUCUGACACAGGUAACUUGUGUCUUUCCCCCUUUUCCGUCCACCUGGCUAGAUGUUUAUUGCUGUCAUCUAUCUUCUCAAAGAACCAGCUCUGGGAUUCCUGGGUCUUCUCUGUUGUUUCCUGUUCAGAAUCUCUCCCCAAAGCAGAAGCACCUCCUUGCUCCUUUUCUUGCUGUCCCUGUGCCUAAGGACCCCCCUAAGACCAUCUAGGUCUAAGCUCCCACGUUUCUCAAGCUCCACCCCAGCACCUCCAACUUUCUUCUGACCGUCUGGUCAGAGGUCGAGCAUUUCAGCUGAAACUUCAGGAAAAAAAAGCCCAUGUGUAUACUCUGAAGUGUGUGCUCACUUGUGUAUACAACAGCUUUAUGACGGGGCUGUAAAUGCAGGAUUCACUUGGCGCCGGGGGCAGGGGGCUCCCUGGCUCUGCCCUUUGCUAACAUAUAAGGGACUAACCACCUCUGAGCCUCCGUUUCCCUCGCUCUAAAACGGGAGUCACGAUGAUAACAAGGUUGUCGAAGGACCCGGCGAGGAGAUGGAUGCAAAGGGCUUGGCCAGAGUCUGGUCCUGGGCCGGCCCUCCGUGAGCAGUGCUGAAAUGUGACAGCGAGCGUGACGGUCCAGGGCUCCGUCCCCUUCACUGCUGGAAAGGCAGGAUUUACGGUCUUCCUUGUCUUCUGUUGAUGUUGGAGCCAGUGUUUAUUGGUUGUAAAUGGUAAAAAUACAAACCUGGCCUAGAAAUCCACAGACUGUGCCUUUUGUCCCAUUACGGACAAGUCCAUGGCCACGCCUGGUCAAGCACGGAAGUUUACAAGUCCAACAUCCAAAAUACACUUUCGUUACAAAAGUGUUGCCUCAGGAGGUUGGCAGCACUGUGGCCAUUGUCGCUGGAAGAGCUUGCGUCACUGGUGUUUCCCCGGGAUGCGGCUGCGCCCACGUGGCCGAGGAGGAUGAGGGCCGCCCUGGCCGGGGCACGAGACUCUGCACAGUGUGGGCCUCAGAAGGCUGCAGGGCUUUCUGUGACGGCCUUUGUCGGGGGCGGGGCGCAUCCUGAAUAGUGCGUGGCAGACCCCCAGCUCUACCUGUGGCCCCCAGGUGCCUUGGAAAAGGCCAGGCAGCCUCUGCGGGUCUAUCCUGGGACACUUGCUCCAUGAAUCUUUGAUGUGUGAGAUGCCCAGGUGUCCACUCACCUCCACGUCGAUGGUGGCGGGCGGGGGGCAGUUGGCGGGGGCCAGAGCAGGGGGAGAUGGAUGGGGCUGAUGGGUGUGGUUGGGGACAGAAAGAGAUGAACCUACGAGGUGACCCUGAGCAGCCGCACCUCUGUGCACAUGGCCUUGUAUUACUGUGGGGGCUGCUCGUUACACAGCUCGCUUUGGUAACGGGUGCACAGCCCAUGCCUGGUAGGAGCCACUAAGUCUCUGUGGGCUUCAGGGCGUCCAUCCGUAGAAGGAGGAUCGUGAGGCGGCCUCUGAGCAGCCCCGGGAGCACCAUGAGGAGAGGUGAAGAAGCAGCCUCUGCCUCCGCCUCCACACGGCCCUCUCUCCUACGCCAGCAUCGCCUCCCUCUCGCCUCUUACGAGAACAUUUCUCAUCUCAGGAUAUUCGACUGCAUCUGCAGAGACUGCUUUUCCAAGUGAGGUCCUGGCAGGACGUGGGUGUUUCCUGAGGGGUGGGGGGCACAUUCAACCCGCUGUAGCAGCCCCUGCCUAAAGGCAGUGCGUGCAAGAAAUGAGGAAAAUCCAUCAGCCCCGCAUGUGCAUCCCAGCGCUGCUGUUUCCAGUGGGGUGGCCUUCACCCCUCCGAGCCCCAGUCUCUCCGUCUGGAAAACGGACCGCCCACAGUGUUGCCCCGAGGAUGCGCGUGGAUGGCAUACAGGAAGGCCCUGGCGCUGAACGUGGCCACACAGUAGGGCCUCAGUGUGAGCAACCCAGCCUAGUUACAAUAGUGGCCAACCAUGCUCCACCCACCCUGCCAGCAGUGUCGCAUUCUGGGACUGUGGGAAGGAGCCAUGGGGGUCCUUUCCAGCGUGGGAGACUGGGCAGAGCAGAUGGCGGUUGUGGAGGGGGCUUCCUGGCUGAGAGGAGGCCUGUUUUAACCCUUUCCAUGGCUCCCCUCCUGCUCUCCCGUUGAUCCGGAUUUGAGUGCCAGCCCAGCCGACGGCACUCCGACGUUCCCAGCGUGUCAGCCAAGGGUGAGCCUCCCCCGCACACUCGCAGAGAGAAUUUUGGAAGGCACUCCGUGGCAUUCUCGGACAGCCACAGCGGCCUUCGGGAAGACAAAUGCCCUCGACUGGCGUCUCCUGACAGCCCCUCUCUCUGGCCUCCCUGCCCUCCACCCACUCCCGGGCCCCCCAGCAGGCCAGCAGCAGACGAGGGUCUCAGCCGCGAGCUCUGCGGUGGACUGAACCGGGCGACCUCCGCCUUCCCGGUCAGCAGCCAGCGCCCGGCGCCGGCCCCGGCCCGGGGCAGGGGCCUUCAGGCAGGCCUGGAUUAGAGGUUUGGGGUUUGGAACGUCCACAAUGGGAUCAAAUCAGAAUUUUUUUUUUUUUUUAAAGAAGACAAUUUUCAGAGACACAGUCUGAAAAACAAAACAGCUCUUUAGCUGUUUCUCUGAAAUGACAUCAGCGGCCACCACAAAGCCUGAAUCGGCCCCAUUGCUUUCGGCCGUGGGGAUGUAUCAUUUCCCCUGCGAAAUGCCAACAGCCUUGUCCUGGGUCCCAGCCGACUGGGAGCCGCUCGCCCAGUGGGAAGCCGCCACUUUCCCACCCAUGCUCAGCGGGGCCUUGUCAUUGGAAACGUGCAGAUUGCCGACGAACUGGGAGCUCAGGCCAGGAUGGGUUUUAGGGCACAGUGUUGGUCCUUGUUGUACACCCAUCGCAGUAGUGCCAUCCACGCGGGCAGCAAGUACUGGGAUUCUGGGCACGACCUUGCCCAGGACCAGCCGCUCCGGUGCCUCCUCCCAGACCCAAGCCCUCAGCCUGUCCCCCACCUCCCUCCAGCCCCAUCCAGGCUCCCACCCUUGCAGGCCAGCGCCUCCGGGGUUUGCGAGUGGUGGGGAAGCUGGAGAGUAUUUUCAAGAUGGAUUUUUGUUUCAUCGAAGAGCCACCCAAUUGCACUUAAUUUAUCACCACAUAAAAAUAGACACAGAAAAAAAAGGCCGGGAGGAAAUACAAUGACAUGUUAACAACCUGGCUGUCUGUGGCGGGAGGGUUAUUUUUUUCUUAAUUCCUUCUACUUCUGUACAUUUGCUCAAUGUUACUCUCGUAGCACAAAAAGCAUUAUUUAUUAAAACCACCAACUGGAUCUUGUCUCGGGGCCAACAUGAGCUGCUUAAGAGAGUGGAAAGUCAGGCUUUCUGGAGAGCCGGCAGUCCCUGGGGACUUAUUUCUUUGAAGAGACACUUUUAAAAACUCAGAAAUAAUCUGCAUAGUUGAAACUUCUGUUCCUCUGGGAUUGUUAUUCCUUCAUUAGCUAAAGUGAUUUACUGAGUCACAGGAAAUUUCGCUGCUGGCCCAAAGAGUGAUUCUACUCCCCAAGCAUUCGCCGAGUAUCUGCCCCGAGAGAGCCACCGCGGACCUGCCCUGGGCGGGCGCACAGUCUAACAGAGGACGCGGGAGGCGGGUCUCACGUUCACUCAUUCAGCAAACAUUUAUCCAGCCCCUACUAUGUGCCAGGCGUGAUUCGGGGGUGCGGAGACACAGCAGCGUACCAGCCAAACCAAGCUCCCUGCCUGCUCGGAGUUUAAACUCAGGGCACACGUAGAAGAGGAACGUGGAAGUGCCCGGGCAGCUGGAGGAAGGAGGCGUCCGUGACGGUGGAGACGGACGGAUGCGGGUCCUGCCAGGGCGAUAGGGUUGGAUUCUUGUGUGGAAGUCUCCACCGGGAGCCUGGGAGCGUGGCCAUCGGGCAAAUGGGGCGGGGGGGGGGGGUUCCAGACGUGACUAUUUAAAAUGAGGUCCUUAGGGUGGGCGCUCAUGCAGUGUGAGUGGUGCCCUUAUUUAAGGGGAGAUUUGGCCUCAGAGACCCCUUCCCCUCUCCCCCCAUCAAACAUGUUCUGAUCUGUGUGGACGCGUGUGUGUGAGGCUGGAGGGAGAGACCUCAGGGCAGCUAGAGGCCCCUUCGCCUUCUGCAGCCCCGGCCAUCGCUCACCUCGGGGAGAGGGCUGGUGGAAGCAGGUGCCCAUCUGCACUCACUCGUCAAGCAUUUCCGGGUGCCUGCUACGAGCCAGACGCUGCUCUAGGACCGGGAUCGCAGCAGUGGACAAAGCAGACCUACGUCCCUGUCCUCACGGGUGAGAGAGUUCCCUGGAUACCUACUGGGUACCAGAGACUGUGCUCCGUGAGUAAGACCCAGAGUCCAAUGAGACAGAGUUUCUGUCCCCACCCACCCAACCCAUCCGUCCAUCCAUCCACUCAGUGUUUCUGUUCAUCUGCUGUGAGUCAGGGAGUCUCUAGAUGGCACAGGAAACAAACAAGGAAGAGUCAUCUUAACAGUCUGAUCAGGGAAACAUAUGGGUUUAAAAAAAACUCUGGAAUUCCCGCUGUGGUGCAAUGGGAUCCGUGGUGUCUCCGCAGUGGCAGGGAUGCGAGUUCAAUCCCCUGCCUGAUGCAGUGGGUUAAGGAUCUGGUGUUAUCGCAGCCGUGGUGAAUGUUUUCACUCUGGCUCAGAUUUGAUCCCUGGCCCGGGAAGUCCACAUGCUACAGGGCGGCCAAAAAAA
Molecule: long non-coding RNA, 6790 nt
Filed under: Sus scrofa (pig)
Lineage: Eukaryota; Metazoa; Chordata; Mammalia; Artiodactyla; Suidae
Description: lncRNA (ENSSSCG00040048550.1)
Source: RNAcentral